This 23-nucleotide non-coding RNA is filed under the name Cricetulus griseus (Chinese hamster). Lineage: Eukaryota; Metazoa; Chordata; Mammalia; Rodentia; Cricetidae. The record is from RNAcentral.
AACAGAAGUAGCUUUGGCCAGGA